This is a non-coding RNA of Caenorhabditis elegans, 208 nucleotides long. The record is from Ensembl. NCBI's taxonomy places the organism in Eukaryota, Metazoa, Nematoda, Chromadorea, Rhabditida, Rhabditidae.
CGAAAAAAGGAAGAAAGAGGGUCAAAAGCGACUCGCCGUUGUCUUCCUCAUCUACGCCCCCCGAGGGACUAUCACUUCCCGGCAAUCGUCUUAGAGAAUAUUGUAGAAUAGGAUGAGACGCAGAUAUGUGACGUCUAAGAAAUGCUUUUGGCAAUAUAGAAAGGAUGAAAAAGUGAAGAAUCGAAACAAUACUUUCAAGGGUAUUGAG